GGUACGCCUCUCGCCCAUCCUUCCCUCCCCUUUCUUAACUACACUUAUAAUUAUUGAUAUGGUCCCUUAAUAACUUAGAAAGGAAGAAAUUAUAUAUUAAUAUAUACAAGUGUUAAGUCCCCGGCAAGCUCGGCCUAAUUCCACCUUCUCAUACAAACAGAGUUUCGUUCUCAUUUUAAAACGACGGGUUAGAUUGUUAUGAAACUUUACACAUACAAUGAAAUGAGGUAUAUCUAUGCCUGUAAUAAGUUUAUAUAGCUCCAGCUUUUAAAACAAACGAAAUAGACCAAAAACAAGUUUUGUAUGAAAAACUUAAAUUCGCUGUCUUUUUAGGGUUCCGUAGCCAAAUGGCAAAAAACGGAACCCUUAUAGAUUCGUCAUGUCCUGUCUAUCUGUCCGUCCGUAUGUCACAGCCACUUUUUUCCGAAAACUUCCGAAACUAUAAGAACUAUACUGUUGAAACUUGGUAAGUAGUCUGUGAACCGCAUUAAGAUUUUCACACAAAAAUAAAAAUAAAAAACAAUAAAUUUUGGGGGUUCCCCAUACUUAGAACUGAAACUCAAAUAUAUUUUUUCAUCAAACCCAUACGUGUGGGGUAUCUAUGGAUAGGUCUUCAAAAAUGAUAUUGAGGUUUCUAAUAUCAUUUUUUUUCUAAACUGAGUAGUUUGCGCGAGAGACACUUCCAAAGAUGUAAAAUGUGUGUCCCUCUCCUGUAACUUCUAAAACAAGAGAAUGAUAAAACUAAAAAAAAUAUAUGAUGUACAUUACCACGUAAACUUCCACCGAAAAUUGGUUUGAACGAGACCUAGUAAGUAGUUUUUUUUUUAAUACGUCAUAAA
Molecule: long non-coding RNA, 839 nt
Organism: Cydia strobilella
Lineage: Eukaryota; Metazoa; Arthropoda; Insecta; Lepidoptera; Tortricidae
Exons: 2
Source: RefSeq, a predicted model, not a curated record